AAUAUCUCUUUCAUUUUUUAUCCAAAAAUUAUGGGACCAAUUGCAUUAUUUCCCAAAUAAAUUCUAGUUUCUGUUUUUGAUUUUUAUUAUUUUUUAUGUUGUAAUUUGAUAUUUUUUGUGAAUUUUCUCUUUUCUGGUUAUUUUUAAUUCAUUUUAAAUAGUUUUUGAUAUUCAAAAAAUACAAAAAUAUUUUCCUAACCUAUUUGAAUGAUGAUGGAUCUACGAAAAAUA
This 231-nucleotide long non-coding RNA is filed under the name Lathyrus oleraceus (garden pea). Its description in RNAcentral is "Pisum sativum (pea) long non-coding RNA (PSAT_LNC001956)". Lineage: Eukaryota; Viridiplantae; Streptophyta; Magnoliopsida; Fabales; Fabaceae. The record is from RNAcentral.